AAUAUGGGACAAGGGGGGGAACCCUGAUCCAGCCAUGCCGCGUGUGUGAAGAAGGCCNNNUGGUUNUAAAGCACUUUAAGCGANGAGNAGGAGCUCUUGGUUAAUACCAUAGAUGCUUGGACGUUACUCGCAGAAUAAGCACCGGCUAACUCUGUGCCAGCAGCCGCGGUAAUACAGAGGGUGCAAUCGUUAAUCGGAUUUACUGGGCGUAAAGCGCGCGUAGGUAGCCAAUUAAGUCAAAUGUGAAAUCCCCGAGCUUAACUUGGGAAUUGCAUUCGAUACUGGUUGGCUAGAGUAUGGGAGAGGAUGGUAGAAUUCCAGGUGUAGCGGUGAAAUGCGUAGAGAUCUGGAGGAAUACCGAUGGCGAAGGCAGCCCCCUGGGAUAAUACUGACGCUCAGGUACGAAAGCGUGGGGAGCAAACA
This 423-nucleotide ribosomal RNA is filed under the name uncultured bacterium. RNAcentral describes it as "partial 16S ribosomal RNA". It matches the Rfam family "Bacterial small subunit ribosomal RNA", at positions 360 to 774 of the family's 1533-position model. The record is from RNAcentral.